AACACCAAAUAAUCCUGGUCCAUCAACCAGUUCUACCUUUAUACAUUUUGGCGAUGAAAAUAAUGAAUUGGGUGCAAUUCAGUACCGUCAGACAUCUGAAAAUUCUCAAAUAAGGUUAAAUGAUCCUGUAGCACGCAAACAUGGUUUGUUGAAAAAUGUUGGUGUACAUAAGAGUUCACAACUGUCUCCUGUCUCCAGAAUUCUGUAUAAGCAAGCUUUGUAUUACGAGAAGAAAGCUUCCAUACUCUCCAAACGGAAAAUGGAUUGACAACGUAAAAUCCAAACUAUCGAAAAAUGGUCAAAAGAAAAAUGCUUUCAAAAUUUGA
Long non-coding RNA from Anoplophora glabripennis (Asian longhorned beetle), 326 nucleotides. RefSeq lists it as uncharacterized. Lineage: Eukaryota; Metazoa; Arthropoda; Insecta; Coleoptera; Cerambycidae. The transcript is spliced from 3 exons. The record is from RefSeq and is a predicted model, not a curated record.